UACGUAGGGUGCGAGCGUUAAUCGGAAUUACUGGGCGUAAAGCGUGCGCAGGCGGUUCGUUGUGUCGGUGGUGAAAGCCCCGGGCUUAACCUGGGAAUGGCCAUGGAAACUGGCGAACUGGAGUGUGGCAGAGGGGGGUGGAAUUCCGCGUGUAGCAGUGAAAUGCGUAGAGAUGCGGAGGAACACCGAUGGCGAAGGCAGCCCCUGGGCCUGCACUGACGCUCAUGCACGAAAGCGUGGGGAGCAAACAGG
Molecule: ribosomal RNA, 252 nt
Filed under: uncultured bacterium
Lineage: Bacteria
Description: partial 16S ribosomal RNA
Rfam family: Bacterial small subunit ribosomal RNA
Source: RNAcentral